UGGACCAUAGCUUAACAGGUAAGAGCAACGGGUUUUGACCCCGUUUGUGGCUGUUCGAGCCAGUCUGGUUCAUCCA
Molecule: transfer RNA, 76 nt
Filed under: Caudoviricetes sp.
Lineage: Duplodnaviria; Heunggongvirae; Uroviricota; Caudoviricetes
Description: tRNA-Gln
Rfam family: tRNA
About the family: Transfer RNA (tRNA) molecules are approximately 80 nucleotides in length.
Source: RNAcentral